GCUCGGAGCGCCGGCUCCCUGGGCCUUCGGCUUGUUCGUCUGAGCAGCUGGUUCCCGGAGCCGGUGAGCCUCCUGGAGGGAUUUGACUGGACUCAAAGCCCCGGAAAGUCACCCGGCUUCGGGGCCCCAACCGUCAGGCUCUUUUUUCCAACACCCCCCAGCCGCCGGCCCUCCCAGCCCCUGCAGCCACGCUGCUGAUCCUGGGGACCUGGCGACCUAGGACUGCGACCAGGAUCCUGGAAGGCCCCUCUGCACACCGCCAGAGAGCCGAGCCUCUGCUGGAAGGAAGAGGGGAGGCGAGACCCCACAGGACACCCCUGCAUGCUUCCCAGGAUUAAGAACCUAUUUAUGAAGCAUCUUAUUUCGUGACCGAAGCUCCCCGGUCAGUGAGACGUAAAUGGCCCCACUUCCCCCCGGCAUUCGCUUCAUCGUCUCGUUCUCCAGGGAUCAGUGGUACAGAGCCUUCAUUUUUAUUUUGACAUUUUUGCUGUAUGCAAGUUUUCACUUAUCUCGAAAGCCUAUCAGCAUAGUUAAGGGUGAGCUGCACAGCUACUGCACGGCUUCGUAUGAGGGGGAGGUCGGAUUCCACAGCCAGAGCCCAAAAGCCCGGGACACCCCCGCUCAGCAGCUCCCAGACAACGGGACCGACUGUGGCUGGGCCCCAUUUGAUCAGGACAACUUCCAGCAGCUGCUCGGCGCCCUGGACUACUCCUUCCUGUGUGCGUACGCUGUUGGCAUGUACCUGAGUGGCAUAAUAGGGGAGCGCCUGCCCAUUAGGUAUUACCUGACUUUUGGAAUGGUGGCCAGCGGUGCUUUCACUGCCCUGUUUGGGGCAGGGUAUUUCUACAACAUCCACAGUUUUGGAUUCUACGUGGUGACCCAGAUCGUCAACGGACUGGUACAGACCACCGGCUGGCCCAGCGUCGUCACCUGCCUCGGCAACUGGUUUGGCAAAGGGAGGCGAGGUUUGAUCAUGGGGGUCUGGAAUUCCCACACGUCUGUGGGCAACAUUCUGGGGUCCUUGAUCGCUGGCUACUGGGUGUCCACGUGCUGGGGCCUGUCCUUCGUCGUGCCUGGGGCCAUCGUGGCAGCCAUGGGGAUAGUGUGCUUUCUCUUUCUCAUUGAACAUCCGAAGGACGUCGCCUGCUCUUCCUCCCCGGCCACGCAUCCAAAAAGCUACGAGAACGGCACGCACAGAUUCCGGCCACAGAAGCAAGCGCUAACCGAGGAGAGGAACAAAUCUCUGGACCCAGAGAUGCAGUGCUUACUGCUGUCGGAUGGAAAGCGCUCCGGCCACCAGAACCACGUGGUCGUUCUCCCGGCAGACGGCGGCGGCGGCAUCGCGGCCAUCAGCUUCGUAGGGGCCUUGAAAAUUCCCGGCGUGAUAGAGUUCUCUCUGUGUCUCCUGUUUGCCAAGUUGGUCAGCUAUACCUUCCUCUUCUGGCUUCCACUGUACAUCACAAACGUAGAUCACCUCGAUGUCAAGAAGGCCGGGGAGCUCUCCACCUUGUUUGAUGUGGGCGGGAUCUUCGGUGGGAUCCUGGCAGGUGUGAUCUCCGAUCGACUGGAGAAGAGGGCCUCCACCUGCGGCCUCAUGCUGCUACUCGCAGCCCCGACGCUCUACGUAUUCUCUGCCAUCAGCAAAAUGGGUCUAGAAGCCACCAUCGCCAUGCUGCUCCUCAGCGGGGCCCUGGUCAGCGGGCCGUACGCACUGAUCACGACCGCCGUCUCCGCCGACCUGGGGACUCAUAAAAGUCUGAAGGGAAACUCCCACGCCCUGGCCACCGUGACCGCCAUCAUUGACGGAACUGGGUCUGUAGGUGAACUGGCGGGUCUCGUGGCGCACAAGACUCCGAGUGUUACCAGCCCCGUUAAGGAUCUUGGAGAGAAUGCAGCAGCAUAUUCCAGAGGGAAAAAGGAGCAACUCACGGCUCUGAGCUGGGCCGAUGGGAGCUGGUCAACAGCAAGCCUGUCCUGACCCGUGAGUCAGAAGGCUGACAGCAACGUCCAUGACCUUGUUGAGCCUCUUGGGAGGAGCACACAGACCGGGACCCCUCCCGCCAAGCCCCCAGAGCUGCCUGCCCCGGGCUGCUGCGUCGAGGCCUCUGUCUGAGUCAGUCCAGCGCCCACUGUGACACCCUUUUCUGAAAGCAAAUUGGGAGCUUGGCCGGCAGCCCUGAUUGCAUUUUAAAGCAGAAGAUGGGGGGUUAAAAAGAAGGAAAUUAUGAAGUAGCCUAAAGAACACAUUUCUCUUGAUCUUCUCAAAACAAGAGGGAAGCAGAAGUUCUUGGCCCAGGGUAGAGACUCUGCGUCUCUAAUUGGGGGCAGGCUCUGAGCUGCAGGAGGAACCAAAGCCCAGCUCUGGACACCUGUCACCCCUCACAGAAGGAGGGCAGAGGCUAACUCAGACCAUCCCUGGCCUCUGCACUCGCUGCAGGUCCUGCAUCCUGGGUCUGGCUGAGCCUCGGACUCCACGGGCUCUGGCAACCCCAGUGCACCAGGACAGAGGAGGUGGUCACCAUGGAAACGGCAGGCAGGCGCAUCCACCACUGUGUCUCCCCCACUGUUUCUCUGCUUAAGUGCUGCCCAAGUAGAUGGAAGCAAAGCCAGGCUCAGGCAGAGAUGCACACUGUUCCAGCAGAAGUUCUGUUCACAAGGGCGUUUACCCUGAUGUGUUUAUUAAAUGUUGUAAAUGUUGGUUCCAACGGAGACAGAGCUCGACUAAUUGUGAACAAGCUGGUGCCUUCUCUCAAUUCACCAGAGCCAGACGGUUGCAGGGACACCAGUUCACGUGUGUGGUGCGUUCACAGGGUUGAGAACCGCAUCCCGGUGGGCUGCAAGGCUGGCUGUUUCUUUAUGUUUAUGCAGGGCGAUUAAAUAGAGCCCUGAAUUUCUUCAAGUUAAUUUUUAUUUUCUCAAAGUAACACACAGUGUUACUUUAGAAACCAGAUAGUAGUCUUAGAAACGUAUUAUAAUGCAAAGUGACAGUCCCCUGCCCAUGCCCCCUCCGCCACCUCUUUCUAGAAGCCAUCGCUUUCGACCAUUCUGUCCCGUCUUCCCCACACACACAGUCACACGUUUCUUGAUCCAUCACCUUGUCUGCUGUCCUCCUGGUGAGGAAGCUGGGGCCCCUGCUCCCCACGGCCCCUCCUCUCGUCCUCCCCAGCCAUCCUGACUGCUUGACAUCGCUCACUCUUGAGCCCAGAAAUAAACUUUAACUAUUACACCCUUAAUAUGCACGUUUUUCGUUUUCCCAAAAGUAACAAACGUCCUGUUUUCCCUUUUGUUUACUUUUCUGUCUCGGCUGUUCCUUCCUCUCCAGUGUGGCCGGCAGCCUGCGAGGGGCCUUGCAGCCACGUGACUCCUGCGCUCUGCCUAGGACACGGCUCUCAUCCCAGAGCUGCUUGUACUGCCCUCCUGCAAGCCCCGUUCAUGUCUUGGCCACGGUGGACCCCUGUUUCCUAGACAUCGCGUUUACUUCUCCUCUUUGGUGGAAAACAUCUCCUAGUAGCUUCCGAGGAAUCAUUUGCAGGAGGCAGAUUUGAGAGCUCGGGAGUCUGUGGGGUCUGGGUUCAGUUCUCUCCCUUGGGUAUAGAAUUCUAGCCGAGAGUCCUUUUUCUCCAGAAUUCUAGUGUCUUCUAGCUCCCGCUGUCACCACAGAGAAGCCCGUUGUCACCCUUAGCCCAGGCCUCCACCUCUGACCUCUGGUCUUUCCUCCUGGAGGCCCCCAGGCUCACUUUACCUCUGCAGCCUCUUUGCAUCCCCCAUGCCCUGGGCACCUGGGGCCCACCCAGUCUGGAAACACAUGCCCUGCAUCCCUGGGAAAGUGUGCUGUGCUUCCUCUUUGACAAGCCUCCUCUCCUGUUCUUGUCUUCCUAGAAAACCCAUUAGCCGGAUGUUUCACUUUCUGGAUUCAUCCUUCAGUUUUCUUUUUUCCUUUUGCCUGACGAUGUCUUUGUUCUCCUCUACUUCCUCCGAGAUGUCCUCAGCUUUCCUUUCCAACUUCCGUGCUGAACUUUUCAUUUCAGGCAUCACCAUGUUAUAUUCAUUAGUGUCAUCCUGCCCUUUCAGUGCAUCCUGUUCUUCUUGGAUGCAGUGUUGUGAGAUUGAAUGCUGUGAAACUGCUGAAGCUGGAUGGUUUUCAGACACAAAAGUGGGAGUUUCGCAUGAUUCAACUCCUUUUUCUGUUAGUUCUCCGAGGGUAUGACAUUUUCCGGGGAAUGUUCUUCUCCACGGUUUCUUUAUUUCCUCCAGAUUCCCCCUCCUCCCGGCUUGUCUGCUUUCACGUUGAGGCUUUUUCCUCUACACGGGUGAACCUUGGCCAUCCCAUCAUAUAUUCAUAUUUAAGACGGAGCCACUAAGAACUCGUCAGAAGCCCUUUCUGCACGGGGCGCAUGUCAACUGCUGGUCUUUGGGGUCCAACUGGGGUCAGGAGGAGGAGACCCGCCCCCCCAGGACCCACAGGGGUGUGACCUCACGGCCAGCAUUCUUGCCACUGGGAGGCAAGGUUAAGCUUCUGCUCUCCUGGGGUGUGGGUGUGGGGGGGUGAUCACUGAGUAGUGUUGCUGAGGAGGAGAAACCUGGGAUCAGAGGGGCCGGAGGGUCGUAUCUAGCCGUUCGUUAUAGAAGAGUCUCAGCCAGAUCCCGUGUUCUCCUACCGCCCCUCCGCCCCUGCCUCGUGCACUUGGGCGGUCUGGCUCUGAGCUGGGAGUCCCCGGCCCCUUCUCGUGGGCAAGGAGAACCAUGCCAGUCACGCCCUUUAAAUUCCAUCCUCAAAAGCAGUGCCUUCUCUCAUCCACCCGCCUCCUUGUGGGUUUUCAUUUUUUUUAACUCAGUUAUGGUUCAUCCUGGGGUGUUCGGGAGGGAAGACAGAAACACGUGUGAACAAUGCACGUUGACCUGGAGUCCUUCUGUGACUUUCAAAAAACACAGUUGCUUCUCCGAUUGUAAAAGUAGUAAGCGCCCUUUGUGAACACUUAACACUAGCAUGUCUGACGUAGGAAAGACCCUCAUCAACCUCCCGCUCAGAGGUUAAAGCUCAGUCAGGAACUUGGUGGGAAUUCUCCACGCUUCUGCCUGUUCCGAGCCACUGAGCCAUCCUCCACACGUUUCAUAACUUAUUCCAGUCUCUCUUAGGAAAAUAAACAACUGCUGCAACAAACAUUCUUAAACAGAUAUUUCUGGAUAUUUUGAGGAAUAUUUGCUUUCUUUUGUUUUAUCAUUUUUUUAAAAAUUAUUUUGACAUAAUUUGAGACUUACAAAAAGGUUUCAAAAAUAGUACAAAGAAAUCACAUUUGCUUUAUCAUUCCCUCUCCCUCCCUCCCUCUCUCUGUUCUCUGUCUCUGUACGUACACACCCACACACGGGCACAUAUGCAUACACACGAGUGUAUACUUAUGAAUAUACACGUGCAUGUUUUUUCCCAAACCACUUAAGAGUACAUCGCAGACAUGCUGCCCCUUUUACCAAUAGCUAUGUAUUCAGCGUGUAUUCCCCCAAAACCAGGAAUUCCUGGUAUAGCCACAGUACAAUGAUCAGAAUCAGGAAGUUAACAGUGAUACAGUAUUAACAUCUACGAACCUUAUUCAUAUUUAACCAAAUAUUUUUAUAGCAUAAAAAUGUCUAAGGUUGUGCAUUAGGUUCUGACUGCUUUAUAAUAAUUUUUUAAUGGGAUUGUUGGGUCAAAAGAAUGGAUGUUGUGAAGUGAGGACACAUUUUUAGAUUUGCCUCCAAAAACAGCUUGGACCAAACCUGCCUUCACCAGUACAAGUACCAGGCUUUUUUAUCCCUGAUCAGUCUGACAGGUGAGCGUGAGAUUUUAGCGUUUAAUGUGGUUUUUCUUUUUUGGGGUCAUGCUCCGUGGCUUGCGGGAUCUUAGUUCCCAAACCAGGGAUCGAACCCACUUCCUGAAGUGGAAGCUUGACGUCUUAACCACUGGACCGCCAGGGAAGUCCC
RNA transcript from Aethalodelphis obliquidens (Pacific white-sided dolphin), 5955 nucleotides. It is a transcript of the gene named solute carrier family 37 member 1, with no coding region annotated. The transcript has 19 exons. The record is from RefSeq and is a predicted model, not a curated record. NCBI's taxonomy places the organism in Eukaryota, Metazoa, Chordata, Mammalia, Artiodactyla, Delphinidae.